UGUAAAACAAAGGCAACUUUGCCAAGGGGAGAGCUGUCUGCAGCUAUGCGAUGGGAAGUCUCUGGUACUGCAAGCACACACCUCUACUAUGGCCAAUCAUCUAGUGGGACACAGUUACAUAUUUAGUAAUGCUGGGGCAUUAAAUGCGUGUAAGGCAACAGAUGGGUCUAAGAACAGCCUUCUGUGUACUUGUGUUGGUGCUAUGUUUGCCCAUGAAGACGAAAGGCUUUUGACCCCUCUCGCUCUUUGAGAAAUUGGUCUCAUUAGGAAAAACUAACCCUUGUCAGUAUGGCUACAGGGAUAAGGAAGUGAAGCUCAGGAACAGAACAAACAAAAGAGAUUUGAGUUUUGCAGCCUGAAGUUAAAUUAUAGUAAAGAGGGGUCAGAGACUCAGUCCAUAUUCUCUAAACAGCAUACACUUUUUAGGAUGGAGGAGAACAGGAUGAAGAUUUGGGCUAUUUAGCACCAAGGAGUCCUGGCAUGGGGACAACUUCCUCUCCAGCCAAAUGCUCAAACCACCGACCUAUUGUGCAAGAAGCAGAAUGUGCUGAAGAGUUUGUAGAGGUUUUUUUCUUUUAAAUGACUGCCCCUGCAGUGACUAUUGUAUUUGUGCAUUGGAGUACUUGGCGUAUGUCCUGCUGUCAGGAUGUGCCUGCUCUGCAAAGCCUGCAGCAUGAGCUGCUGGGGCUGCUCCGUAUUAGGUAGGAUCUGAGCACCUUCCCCUGCUGCUGCCCGCCUGCAGCUCAAGCAAGACUAAGAAACCAAAAAGACAGAAGGCAGAAAAAAGCAGAUAAUUUAGAACAAAGUAAAAUCUCCAAACACGUGUGCAUGCAUACAAUACUUCUGCAGGAACCUAAGUAUAAUGCAGAUUAAGUGUAAGAGAAAUACAUGAGCUUUUGUUAAAAACAGCUUCUGUCACAAAAUAGCAGAUUCACUUAGAAUUGAUUAGGGUAAUUAGAAGCCUACAUAUUGUACCCGACAACUUUAACUGUUGAAUUGGCUGAAAAUAAAAUAACUGGAAAUCCUAGAUAUGGCA
This 1036-nucleotide long non-coding RNA is filed under the name Numida meleagris (helmeted guineafowl). RNAcentral describes it as "lncRNA (ENSNMEG00000015753.1)". Lineage: Eukaryota; Metazoa; Chordata; Aves; Galliformes; Numididae. The record is from RNAcentral.